AGAGGCGUAGCCCAGCUGGUUUAGAGCGCUGCAGUCACAUUGCAGAGGUCAAGGGUUCGAAUCCCUUCGUCUCUACUA
This 78-nucleotide transfer RNA is filed under the name Porphyromonadaceae bacterium. RNAcentral describes it as "tRNA-Val". It matches the Rfam family "tRNA". Rfam says of the family: Transfer RNA (tRNA) molecules are approximately 80 nucleotides in length. Their secondary structure includes four short double-helical elements and three loops (D, anti-codon, and T loops). Lineage: Bacteria; Pseudomonadati; Bacteroidota; Bacteroidia; Bacteroidales; Porphyromonadaceae. The record is from RNAcentral.